Beta vulgaris subsp. vulgaris (sugar beet) is the source of this 106-nucleotide non-coding RNA. The record is from Rfam. Lineage: Eukaryota; Viridiplantae; Streptophyta; Magnoliopsida; Caryophyllales; Amaranthaceae.
AUCUCAUGAUGAGGACACUGCCUUUGUAGAUCCUUGUACCGUUCCCAAGCUUCAUAAAGUGAUUCACCAUCCAACUGGGUGAAGGAUGUGAUUGCAUUGCGUAGCU